Molecule: long non-coding RNA, 1408 nt
Filed under: Calidris pugnax (ruff)
Lineage: Eukaryota; Metazoa; Chordata; Aves; Charadriiformes; Scolopacidae
Description: lncRNA (ENSCPUG00000005596.1)
Source: RNAcentral
UGUUAAUAAAACAGAUUGGAAAGUCAUUUAUAGGUUCAUAGAUACAUAUGCCUGUAUAUAAUAAUCAGAACUGUGCUCUUACGUAUAUGUUGAAGAGCACAGUUCUGACCAUUUAAGGAAAAAUUCACAGUUAACAACCUUUAUAUACCUCACAGUAAGGUUACUGCAUUAUUUGAUGAGUUCUUGCAUCCUCAGGAAAGGCUAUCCUUUAAUUUUUUUAUCCUCUUUUAUGUCCUAGGAAUCGUAAGGAAAACCCCACCCUUUUAUAGGAGCGUUUAACUUUUUCAACAUUUGACUGUUGCCCGUCAGAGUUAUGGAACCAUCAACACCCUUGGGCUCAGGUUACUCUCCUCACUGGACCUGGCCAAACGAAGCAGAAAGGGGCUUUGAGGUAAGCAAAUCAGAGAAUACUUUCAGGGAAGAAUAGAUUUAUUCCAUUUUAGGAAUGGACUGAGAUCUCAUUAACAGGUACCUGUUAAUAAAACAGAUUGGAAAGUCAUUUAUAGGUUCAUAGAUACAUAUGCCUGUAUAUAAUAAUCAGAACUGUGCUCUUACGUAUAUGUUGAAGAGCACAGUUCUGACCAUUUAAGGAAAAAUUCACAGUUAACAACCUUUAUAUACCUCACAGUAAGGUUACUGCAUUAUUUGAUGAGUUCUUGCAUCCUCAGGAAAGGCUAUCCUUUAAUUUUUUUAUCCUCUUUUAUGUCCUAGGAAUCGUAAGGAAAACCCCACCCUUUUAUAGGAGCGUUUAACUUUUUCAACAUUUGACUGUUGCCCUUUGGAACUCUUACCUUCAGAGAUCCCAGCUCCUGUUGGACUCAAAAACCCCUUGGGAAGCAUGAACCCAGAAUCCCUCUCUCUUGGUUGCUCAGUAGUCAUGGGAUUGCUCCAGCUGAAUGCCAAGCAAGCUAACAGGCUACAUGUUGAAGAGUUACUUGCUAAUGAGUUGGAAAAAUUAAGGAAUUCAAGAGACCAGCUGAAUUGCUUGCAGUUUCUGGUGAGAUCAUCUAAGGCCGUUUCAGUUCAGAAAAAGCUUUUCAAAUCCAUCCAAGUUUCUAAAGGAUCCACAGAAGAAAUGCCAGAAACAUGGAUUAUCAAGGUAUUUGACAAGUUCUUUGUAUCCAGACUGUGAUGAUUAUGUGUGUGAGUCUUCUUGGUGUUAUUUGUAGUGACAGGAUGAGGGGUAACAGUUUUAAACCGAAAGAGGGGAGAUUUAGAUUAGAUAGUAGAAAGAUUCUUUGCUGUGAGGGUGGUGAGACACUGGGACAGGUUGCCCAGAGAAGCUGUGGCUGCCCCAUCCCUGGAGGGGUUCAAGGCCAGGCUGGAUGGGGCUUGGAAAUCCAUCCAAGUUUCUAAAGGAUCCACAGAAGAAAUGCCAGAAACAUGGAUUAUCAAGGUAUUUGACAAG